AACGAACGCUGGCGGCAUGCCUAACACAUGCAAGUCGAACGUGAUCCGGGGCUUGCUCCGGUGAAAGUGGCGGACGGGUGAGUAACGCGUGGGAACCUGCCCUUUGGUCGGGGAUAACUGCGGGAAACUGCGGCUAAUACCCGAUGUACCCGAGAGGGGAAAGAUUUAUCGCCGAAGGAUGGGCCCGCGUCGGAUUAGGUAGUUGGUGGGGUAACGGCCUACCAAGCCUUCGAUCCGUAGCUGGUCUGAGAGGAUGAUCAGCCACACUGGGACUGAGAUACGGCCCAGACUCCUACGGGAGGCAGCAGUGGGGAAUAUUGGACAAUGGGCGCAAGCCUGAUCCAGCAAUGCCGCGUGAGUGAAGAAGGCCUUAGGGUUGUAAAGCUCUUUCGGCGGGGACGAUGAUGACGGUACCCGCAGAAGAAGCCCCGGCUAACUCUGUG
Molecule: ribosomal RNA, 443 nt
Filed under: uncultured bacterium
Lineage: Bacteria
Description: bacterial SSU rRNA
Rfam family: Bacterial small subunit ribosomal RNA
Source: RNAcentral